RNAcentral lists this ribosomal RNA (583 nucleotides) under Macrophomina sp. CanR-83. Its description in RNAcentral is "eukaryotic LSU rRNA". The stretch from base 213 to 366 matches the Rfam family "5.8S ribosomal RNA". The record is from RNAcentral. Lineage: Eukaryota; Fungi; Ascomycota; Dothideomycetes; Botryosphaeriales; Botryosphaeriaceae.
UCCGUAGGUGAACCUGCGGAAGGAUCAUUACCGAGUUGAUUCGGGCUCCGUCCCGAUCCUCCCACCCUUUGUAUACCUACCUCUGUUGCUUUGGCGGGCCGCGGUCUUCCGCGGCCGCCCCCCGAUUUUGGGGGGUGGCUAGUGCCCGCCAGAGGACUAUCAAACUCCAGUCAGUAAACGUUGCAGUCUGAAAAAAAUAUUAAAUAAACUAAAACUUUCAACAACAGAUCUCUUGGUUCUGGCAUCGAUGAAGAACGCAGCGAAAUGCGAUAAGUAAUGUGAAUUGCAGAAUUCAGUGAAUCAUCGAAUCUUUGAACGCACAUUGCGCCCCUUGGUAUUCCGGGGGGCAUGCCUGUUCGAGCGUCAUUUCAACCCUCAAGCUCUGCUUGGUAUUGGGCACCGUCCUUUGCGGGCGCGCCUCAAAGACCUCGGCGGUGGCGUCUUGCCUCAAGCGUAGUAGAAUACACCUCGCUUCGGAGCGUAAGGCGUCGCCCGCCGGACGAACCUUCUGAACUUUUCUCAAGGUUGACCUCGGAUCAGGUAGGGAUACCCGCUGAACUUAAGCAUAUCAAUAAGCGGAGGA